GAUGAACGCUGGCGGCGUGCUUAACACAUGCAAGUCGAACGAUGAAGCUCAGCUUGCUGGGUGGGUUAGUGGCGAACGGGUGAGUAACACGUGAGUAACCUGCCCUUAACUCUGGGAUACGCCUUGGAAACUAGGUCUAAUACCGGAUAGGAGCGCCUACCACAUGGUGGGAGUUGGAAAGAUUUAUCGGUUUUGGAUGGACUCGCGGCCUAUCAGCUUGUUGGUGAGGUACUGGCUCACUAAGGCGACGACGGGUAGCCGGCCUGAGAGGGUGACAGGCCACACUGGGACUGAGACACGGCCCAGACUCCUACGGGAGGCAGCAGUGGGGAAUAUUGCACAAUGGGCGAAAGCCUGAUGCAGCGACGCCGCGUGAGGGAUGACGGCCUUCGGGUUGUAAACCUCUUUCAGUAGGGAAGAAGCGAAAGUGACGGUACCUGCAGAAGAAGCACCGGCUAACUACGUG
RNAcentral lists this ribosomal RNA (466 nucleotides) under uncultured bacterium. RNAcentral's name for it is "partial 16S ribosomal RNA". It matches the Rfam family "Bacterial small subunit ribosomal RNA", at positions 28 to 507 of the family's 1533-position model. The record is from RNAcentral.